This 3828-nucleotide long non-coding RNA is filed under the name Marmota monax (woodchuck). The record is from RNAcentral. Lineage: Eukaryota; Metazoa; Chordata; Mammalia; Rodentia; Sciuridae.
UGGAGCCACACGCUCUCCUCCCCCAGCCUGCCAAAGUUAAUGUUGCAGAAACCUCAUUAGGAAGAGACAUUAAGCAGUCCUGGAUGGCCGCACCAUAAAACCACCCUGGGUGACAUUUCCUUGAGCUGAGCUGUCUGCCACACAGCUUCGAGCAUCAAUUCCCACCAUGGAGAUAUCGGAGGCGCGCCCCCUCCACCGGCAGCCCUCCUUUGGAUGCUAGUGUUUGGACCUGCCAAGGAAAAGUAGCCCAGAUGCUGGGAUCCCACUCAGCCGUGAGUGGCUUGGGGACACACAGGAAACUGAACUGCCCUCUCCUUUAAUUCUGCUGACAGUAAGUGACAGGCACGGGGUCCCAGCCACCAUGGUAGGAACCCGGUACUGGGCAAUAGGGAUGGGUGAGGACAGCAGGGGAGAUGCAGGCCCCUCUUCACCUGAGGACUAGAGCAAGGCCUGCCUGCUCCCACCCACCAGGCCCCGCGUGCCGAGCCCCAGGAAGCCCCGGGGUUCUGCUGAGUCCUGGUCAGGGAUGCCGUGGGGGAGACAAAGCUCCUGUCCCAGACAUCUGCAAGUGCUUAGGACCAGUGACUUCAGAGGCUCCCAGCCCUGACACACGUGAUGGGGGUGGAGGAGGGGGUGCAGGAGAAAGAAUCGAGACACAGAGGAAAGAACAUGAGCUUUGGCCAUACAACCCUGGGUUGGACUCCAAGCUCCAACAUUGCUGCCUGUGUGACCUGGGCAAGUUACUUGACCUCCCUGAGUCUGGUACCUCCUGUGUAAGGAAAGGUCAAUCACUCUUCCUUGCUGGGUUGUGAGGAUUAACUGCCACACGUGCCACUUAUAUAAUGACCAAAGUAGGCAAAGCUGGUCCAUGCUGCUGGAAGUCAGGAGCAGGGUUACCUGGGAGGGUUAGUCUGGAAGGAGGCUUGAGGGGGCUUCUGGGUGCUUAUGAUGUUUCACUCGUUAAUGCCAGUGCCUCCCCCCCACCCCGCUGGAUCCUGGCUGGAGGAGAAAAUGCAACAAAAAUCUUCCAAAGAGAAAUACACCCAAAGAUGACAAGCUCAGGAUCUUAAGGCAUGGGCAGAUUCCCAGGCUGAGGGGCAGUUGCCCAGGACAGUGUGGAAGAAAUAAUCCCCACCCUAUAGCUAUGAGGGACGUGGACCAACUUCCCCCAGACACAGAGGCAGAGGUGGGAUGCGGUGCCCUGCAGCAUUUGGCUCUUCCAGGUGAAGACCUGUUCUUCCCAGGAUCUUGGAUACCCUGAGUGCAUGUUUGCAUUCCAAGUCUUCCUGAAGAGUGGGUCGCAUGCCCCAUACCCAGCUCCAGGAGGGGCGAGACCUCCAAGUCAAGCUGGGUGGGCAGAGACACUGGCACUGGAGAGUGAGGAUCUCGACAGGGUAGAUGAAACAGCCUGCAGAGUAGGUCUGAAGGUCUUUUCAGCUUUGUUUCAGGAAUCAAUAAAAUAACACUCCAAGGAUCCAUUACAGAAGAGAUAAUGGGACUCAGGGCUGAGGCUGGGGCUCAGUGGCAGAGCGCUUGCCUCAUAUGGUGAGGCACUGGGUUCGAUCCUCAGCACCACAUGAAAUGAAUGAAUAAGAUAAAGGUAUUGUCUCCAUCUACAACUAAAAAAUAAAAAAUAAAAAAAAACCAGGACUCAGAAGAAGAGUAAAAGACUGAAGCCGGCAUUGGGAGAAAUAUCAGAUGAGAGAGGAACACAUCUUACAGAAACCUUUGCUUCUGCUAUGAAUGUGUCCUGGUCUUCUCACCACCUUGAGAGAAAAUGUAGAGCUUACCAAGUCUGUAGACUAAAAAAAGCUUGGAAGAUGCACAGUGUUAUGGUUUAGAGAUAUGUCUAAAAUCUCGUGUGUCACACAAUUCAAGAGGGUUUAGAGGGGAAAUGAGUGGGUUAUGAGCAUCUUAACCUGAUCAGUGCAUUAAUCCACUGAUAGGGAUUAACUGGGCAGUUCUGUAGGCAAGUAGGGUGUGGCUGGAGGAGGUGGGUCAUUGGGGUGUGUCUUUGGAUAUAUUUUGUCCCUGGUCUGCAGUGUCUCUGUCUGCUUCCUGGUGAUCAUGUCCUGGGCUGCCUUCCUCCUCCAUACCCUUUCAUGAUGUUCUGCCUCACCUCAGGCAUAGAGCAAUGGAGUUGGCCAUCUAUGGACCGAGACCUCUGCAACCAUGAACCAAAUAAACUUUUCCUCCUCUAAAAUCAUUCUUGUCAGAUCUUUAGGUCCCAGCAGAAAAAGCUAACUAGAACUCAUUGUCUUGCCUGGUUUUAAAACCAGGGGGCCUCUCCCCAUGCUCCAUAUAGAAGUGGCCUGAGAAGGGAAAGUGCCACCUUCACCAGCAUCCACUGAGGGGGCCCCAGGAUGUGGGUCACCCCUUCUGGGUCACCUCCCUGAAGGCAAGUUGCAGAUCAGCCAACUCAAAAGGAGCGAUUUGCUGAAUUUCUUUGUUUUGUUUAGCAAUUUGGUUUUAACUGGGCGGUUUCCCAUUUAUCUUCAUGAGUCUUUUAAGGACAGCUGCCUUGCCCUGCCCUGGCUUCCUGCGGCUGCAGAGAGAGGCUGGGGGCAGGUUCACUGCAGUCCAAACACCAGGGGCCAGGGGAAGAGACAAAUGGAACAGUCCUUAAAAUGCUGUAAUAAAGACAAAAUGCAAACCAGUCGACUCACACCAAAUAGUUAAAAGAAGAGUCAAUUUGAUGAAUCGGUCAUUUGACAAAUUGGCCAUUCAGUGAAUUGCAUUUUGGCAAAUUGGCUUUUAGCAAAAUGACAUUUGGUGGAUUGGUCUGCUUCUGACACAGCAAUGCUUUCACAGGGCAAUUACUUCCACACUCCCUUCUGGGCUCAGGGCUGGCACAGGAGUGCAGAAGUCACUCUGCAGAUGGUCCACCCCCCUCCACCUCGAGCACUGCUCUCUGCAGCACUGGCUUCAGCCAGGGCAGAGUUUAGAAUAUUCUGGAGAAUGCACACCUGGCCCAGCAGGCAGGCCAGGCUUCGUCCCAGGCUAAGCCCAUCUAGACUCUGAGGGGCGGGUUCUUUGGGCUCUCCCUGAUAAGGGCAGAUUUGGGAGGGGGAGCAGGAUUUAAUGUGCUUUGGGAAGAAAGAGAACCAAGGAGAGGAGCAGCAGGGCUUGGCCCAGAGAACCCAGGCUGUGCUGGGGGCAGGGCUUCACUCAGGGCAAGUGACCAAAUUGUGGUGGUUUCUCGUCUGAGCUUCCCCAGAGAGGAGCUGGAGCCCUAGCCCACGCGGCAGGAGAGAUGAUGCCAGGACAGACACUUGCCUUGAAUUUUGUGGAAGGACCAGCCCCCCAAGGUAAGUAGCAGAAUAUCACUGAGUCCCUGGGGGCAUUUCUGUUCCCCUCUUUCCUGGCCACCCCAAGAAAACAAGGGGCCCAUUUCUUUUACCAAAGACCAUGCCCCAUCGUGCCCUUAUUCCGUAAAGCAUUCCAUGGCCUUUCAGAGUCCCAGCUUUGGGGGAUCUCAGAGUGAAGGGGAGCUUGAAGGACUGGAAUGGCAAGAGGUCAGUCUGGCUGGGACAUGGCGCCCCUCCCAUCCUCUCCCCCGACACACGGGACACCUGGAGGGAACAAGACCCCAGCUACCUCCCAGAGCCGAAAUACAGAGCCCUGUCCACUGCAGGGACAAGUAAGGCUUCCAGGUGGUUGAGGGUGAUCUGCCAGAGGCCAGGACAACAGAAGCCUGAGGAAUCACUAGAAGCAUCAGAGUCUGGAGGAGCAGCUGCCUGGGAGCUGUCCGUGGUCCUGAACCUCCUCUGGCGGCUCUUCCUCUGCUCAGGGUUAGAUGCUCUUGGAACCCAGCCACCUUCAUGUUCA